CAAAAUACUUACAUAUAUAAAUCUGUAGGAAAAGAAAUGGCUCAAAAUUCCCUCAAAACACAAACGGCACUUGAAUUUUUACAUGGCACGUCAAAACGUGAUUUGCCAUAAUACUCUUGACAUAUAGUUAUCUCAAUAUAUUUGAUACAAUAGUACAAUACUAGAAUAUAUAUUAUAUCUGUAUAUUUCUUUGUACUUUAAUCAUAUCAAGAACUCCACACCACUUUGUGCAUGCAAGACUCAGUAAUGAUAAUUAUCGAUCAUUGCAGUUGCAUGGAUGACAUGAUUUCGUAUAAAACAACCAAGUUUUGUUGGAGAUGCAAGGAUUCUACUAUUAGCCCAUUCGACUCUCUCAGAACGAAAUGACUUUCAUGUUUGAUGGUGCACAAACGGUUUUUUAAUUCCUGGUUCACAAGUUUCAGGCGAUUUACUUCGACUAUAAGGUUCGCUAACUGCAUCUUCUUCCGCCAUCGAGACCGCCUGGCUGAUUCCCGAUUUGAUAUCAUCCUCUUUCGCUUCCUAGUUUCUUCAGCAGAGUUAUCCGUAUGGAUUGUCUGUGAACCGGAGGUUGAAUGGAGCGGUGGUUCUGAUUGAAAAAGGGCGAAGAGUUCAUGAAUUUCAUUGGGAGUGAAACCUUCAUCAAGAACCGGGAAUUGGUACUGAGCCUGUUCUUGACAAGACAUGAUGAUUUGAGAAAUUGUACAAGAGAAUUGAGAAG
Molecule: long non-coding RNA, 718 nt
Filed under: Olea europaea subsp. europaea
Lineage: Eukaryota; Viridiplantae; Streptophyta; Magnoliopsida; Lamiales; Oleaceae
Source: RNAcentral